GACGAACGCUGGCGGCGUGCUUAACACAUGCAAGUCGAACGGAAAGGCCCUGCUUUUGUGGGGUGCUCGAGUGGCGAACGGGUGAGUAACACGUGAGUAACCUGCCCUUGACUUUGGGAUAACUUCAGGAAACUGGGGCUAAUACCGGAUAGGAGCUCCUGCUGCAUGGUGGGGGUUGGAAAGUUUCGGCGGUUGGGGAUGGACUCGCGGCUUAUCAGCUUGUUGGUGGGGUAGUGGCUUACCAAGGCUUUGACGGGUAGCCGGCCUGAGAGGGUGACCGGCCACAUGGGGACUGGGAUACGGCCCAGACUCCUAGGGGAGGCAGGGGGGGGGAAUAUUGCAAAAGGGGCGGAAGCCUGAGGCAGCACCGCCGCGGGGGGGAUGAGGGCCUUCGGGUUGUAAACCGCUUUCGCCUGGGACGAAGCGUGAGGGACGGUAAGGGGUAAAGAAGCACCGGCAAACUACG
RNAcentral lists this ribosomal RNA (466 nucleotides) under uncultured bacterium. RNAcentral describes it as "partial 16S ribosomal RNA". It matches the Rfam family "Bacterial small subunit ribosomal RNA", at positions 28 to 505 of the family's 1533-position model. The record is from RNAcentral.